Long non-coding RNA from Quercus robur (English oak), 1190 nucleotides. RefSeq lists it as uncharacterized. The record is from RefSeq and is a predicted model, not a curated record. The transcript is spliced from 6 exons. Lineage: Eukaryota; Viridiplantae; Streptophyta; Magnoliopsida; Fagales; Fagaceae.
UUCUCUGUAGGAAAUUUGCUGUAUACACAAAAGCUUUUGUGGCUGGACCUCCAAAAAUCAUUGAUAAUGUCAUAUCUAGCUCAUCUCCUAGUAUGAGGAAGAUCAAUCCCAAAGAGAAAACCCCAUCAAGAAGGUCAAGGAUUUAGCUGUGGAACAAAAUAACCAUGAACUCUACGCGUUCACUACCAAAGGAAAGUGAGGAAGAUAAAGCGACUCAAAAUAUCAUAUAUGCCCUAAAUCCCUGCCACUAGGAAAAAGUUAGUCACUUUACAAGAGACCUAGGAGGGCGGAGAAUAUAUGUUCAGCAAGCACUCAGGGAUGCAAGCAUGGACUUUGAACUGCCAAAGGAAAUCAAAGAUGAAGCUUGCUAAGCUAGUAGCCAGCCAGUGUUUUAAAGUUCUAAGCAUGGAGAAUGUUGGUCUGCUGCAGCCAAUAUUGUCCAUUGUGGCCUCAUGUACUUUAUUUUUUCGUUAUCAUCAGGCUUACGUGGAAGGUUUGCAUCAGUAGUGUCUUGUGGCCUAGUGAAUACCGAUUUAUGUUUUCCACUGUGCAUAUUCAGGUUGCUGUUUUCUAGUUCCAACAUGAAUGUUGCUGGUUGAAAGAUGUUGGCCUCUUCACAAUCAUUGCUGGUGUGAGUUUACUCAGUACAAGUAAUCAAUUUCAAGAAAAGCCAAGAAAUCCCCCCGGAUCCCCCUUUUAGGAUUUAAACUAGAACUCAAAUUCUAGUAUGUGGCGAAUCAUAUUUUGUACUUGAGCAAAUUUUAACUCAUGGAUGCACUUUUGAGAAAUACCUACGAAAGAAACUCCUUCACCAUUUCAUAGUGGCAUUAGAGCUUGCAUAUCACAUCACAUGGUGAAACAUGAAAGGCGAGGUAGGUGCUUGUCCAAGUUCUCAGGUUUUGUGGUGAGAUUAUAUUUUUUCCUAGAGAAUUAAUAUUCUUGUAUUUUCCAAAUUUGUUGUGUAUUCAAAGUUGUAAGCAUAAACUUAAGUACUGUAAUCUCUAUUUUCCUUAUAGUGGAUUGAUCGGGUUUGUCCCGUGGUUUUUCCCUAUACAUUAGAGGGUUUUCCACGUAAAAUUUGGUGUGUAUUUUGAGAUUGAUUGCUUGCAUGAUAACUUGAUCAAUUACAACCAAUCUUACAAAACGCAACAAAUUUUCCUAUCAUCAUUGAUUAGUACAUCAAUCAACAA